Molecule: long non-coding RNA, 383 nt
Filed under: Homo sapiens (human)
Lineage: Eukaryota; Metazoa; Chordata; Mammalia; Primates; Hominidae
Description: non-protein coding lnc-FBXO25-11:1
Source: RNAcentral
AGUUGUGUAAUAAUCCUGGUGGGGCUCACAGCACUGCGUGGCAGGAGCGGAGCGAGCCUCGUAGGCGUUCCAGGUGUUCCCUGAGCCGGAUUAAAUGCCUCUGCGCUGUGGGGGUGGGGACAGCGUGGGGGGAAGCCAGGAAAAGCCGGGGCCAGAGGACCCCCCGCCGAGAAAGAGAAAGAGCUCAGAGCCGGGGACUGGAGGCCUGGAGGAGCCGAUGUGGGAGAGAUCCUCGUGGGAGGGCCCCAGUGGCCGGGAUGGUAAAAGACUUCGGAGCAAACUAAUCGAUUGUAAUUACAUGAAGGUGAAGCUGGUGAUGAUGUGUCAGAUGGGGAGUGUUCAGGAAAACUCCUACAAAGAGGCCUCAUUGAAGGGAACCCAGG